GAGCUCGCUGUUACCUGAAGGGAUGGACUGGUCGGUGGAAUGUCCGGUGCCGUGAGUUACCUGCUCAGCCCUGGAGCAGGGGUCAAAGCUGGGCGGAGCUGGACAGCCAGUCUCAGCCUCAGGUACUCCAGUGACAAGCAGCAGCACCAGUGCUGAUGAGGGUAGCAGGGAAAACUGGUGAAAUGUGCCGAGGUCUCUCCAGAGGUGGUAGGCGGUUGCGCCAGCUUCACAUCCUGGAUAGGCAGGAACGUUUCCCUAUCAUACUCCUGUCCCGGGUCUCAUGUGUCUCAGUUCAAACAGACACUGCCGUCUAUCUUCAAGCUGCAAUGAAGCUGAGAGCCACAGAAAACACCUGUACCAUGGUUUCAGGGAGGAGUCUCUUCCCUCAGCCGAAAACAGACAGCUUUGCUGGUCAUCUGUUCUCCACUGCGAGGACGCUGCCACUCAGUGUGGAGAGAGGAAGGGGUUCUGCCUAUGGUGCAAGAAGGUCGGACUCGGCAGUUAAUACUCUUGGAUAAUGUAUUUAAGGAUGCUUAAGAAAUUGCAACAGCCAGUUCAACCUUCAGCAACCACCAUACUGAUCAGUAGUCAUCAACAUUGAGACGAGACUGUACACCAGCAAAAAGAUCCCAACUCAAUGAAGGCUCAGAUGAUUUUAGCAUUUUUUUAGCAAUAAAGCAUUUUUAAAUUAAACUAUAUACAUUGUUGUUUUAGACAAGUUUUUGCACAUUCAGAAUACAGUAAAGUGUAAACAUGACUUUUAUAUACACUGGGGAAACCAAAAAAUUUGUGUGACUUACUUUAUUGCAAUAUUUGUUUUAUUGUGCUGAUCUGGAGCUAAAUAUAUCUGAGAUAUGCUUGUACUGAUGAUUAUUUUAACACCAAGAUAUUUUAAAAUUCAUUAAAUAAAUGUUUAUUUAAAUAGACCUCUAGCAUACAUUUACUGGUAACUAAAGGCUUUGUUAACAAAGGGAAAUACUAAAUUAUUAAGGUUUUGCAUGACUUUGAAAAUUUCUAUAUUGAAUUAUAAAUACUAUGGAAUUAUAGCCUUUUUUUUGUUUUUUAAAUCAAAGAUUUAAAUUUUUCUCAAAUGCAUCUUUAUGAUUGAAGUCUGCUUAUCAUUAACAUUUGAUAUCAGAAGCACUAAUUCUUUGUUGUAGCCUUGUUUCAUCAAAAGCUGAUCAACUAUGUCUGUAUGAGUCUGUCAGAGAGCUGAAAAAGUAAUCAAAGGUCAAGAUGGAAGCUGCAGCUACAUACAGGAUCCCUGUGCCAGAUCAUGAGAGCUGAGAGUUACGACACAGAUAGUUCUGGGUGAAAAGCUUACUAGUAAUAGAGUAUAAUAUGUUUUAAUUUAAAAACAAUUUACUAUAUUUAAUUCAAACUAAAAUCAUAAAAUCAUUAGAAUAAACUAUAGGGAUAAAUUUUAAUGACCUUGGCAACAAAAGAAAAAGUAAAAAAAAAAAUGGGCUUCACAAAUAUUAAAAACUUUAGUGCAUCAAAGGACAUUAUCAAGAAAUUGAAAGGCUCUCUGGAAGAAUGGGAGAAGAUAUUUGCAAAUCAUAUGUUUGGUGGGGGAACAGGAUCCAUAAUAUAUAAAGAAUUCCUACAACUCAGCAACAAAAAGACAAACAACCCAGUUAAAAAGUUGGCAGAGGACUUGAAUAGAUAUUUCUCUAGAAAAUAUACAAAUAGCCAACAAGCACAUGAAAACAUAUUCAAAAUCAUUAAUCAUAAGGUAAAUACAAAUCAAAACCACAAUGAAAUACCAGUUCAAACCUAUUAAUAUAGUAAUAAUAAUAAUAAUAGGCUGGGUGCGGUAGCUCAUGCCUGUAAUCCCAGCACUUUGGGAGGCCAAGGCAGGUGGAUCACCUGAGGUCAGGAGUUCCAGACCAGCCUACCAACAUGGUGAAACCUUGUCUCUACUAAAAAUACCAAAAUUAGCCGGGCGUGGUGGUAGGCCUCCCAGCUACUCGGGAGGCUGAGGCAGGAGAAUUGCUUGAACUCAGGAGGCAGAGAUUGGAGUGAGCUGAGAUCGCACCGUUGCACUCCAGCCUGGGCAACACAGCAAGACUCCUUCUCAAAACAAAACAAAACAAUAAUAAGAAUACUAAUAAUCAGAAAAAUAACAAAUGUUGGUGAGGAUAUGGAGAAAUGGCUGAUAGGAAGGUAAAAUGGCACAGCCACUGGGACAAACAGUGUGUGGUCUUCAAAAAGCUUGUUAUGGACUUGAUGUGUCUACCCACGUCCACUGCCAAGUUCACACUCACUGUGAUGGUAUUUGGAGGUAGGGCCUUUGGGAGGUCAUUAGGCUAGGAGGGUAAAGCCCUCAUUAAUGGGAUUAGUGCCCUUAUCAAAGAGACCCCAGGGAAGCCCCUUACCAUGUGAGGGCACAGUGCAAAGACAGCAAUCUACAAAUCAGGAAGUGGUGUCUCACCAGGUACCUAAUCUACCAGAGCCUUGAUCUUGGACUUCACAGACUCUAGAACUGUAAGAAAUAAAUGUUUGUUUUUUAGGCCAUCCAGUUUAUGGUAUUUUUGUUACAGUAGUCAGAACUAAGACAAAGCUAAACAGAAUGACCAUGUGACACAGCAAUUCCACUACCAGGUGUAAUGCCCACUGUAAUUGAAAACAGGGACUCAAACAGACACUUUUAUACUAAUGUUUUUGCAGAAUUAUUCACAAUAGUCAAAAGGUGAAAAUAGCCCAGUGUCUAUCAACAGAUUAACGCAUAAACAAAAUGUAGUAUGUAUACACAUACAAUGAAAUAUUAUUCAACCAUAAAAAGGAUUGAAGUUCUGAUACAUGCUACGAUAUAGGUGGAUCUUGAAGUCAUUAUGUUAAGUGAAAUAAGCUGGGCACAAUAGGACAAUAUUGUGUGAUCCCACUUAAAUGAAAUAUCUAGAGUAGGUAGAACUAAAGACAGAAAGUAAGUUAGAGGUUACCAGGUUUAGGGAGGAGGUGGGGAACAAGGAAUAAUUGCUUAAUGGUUACAGAGUUUCUGUUACAGGUGAUGAAAACAUUUUGGAAAUAGAUAGUGGUGGUGGUUGAAUAACACUGUGAAUGUAAUUAAUACCACCAAAUUGUAUGCUUAAAAUUUUUUUAAUUGGC
Molecule: long non-coding RNA, 3108 nt
Filed under: Homo sapiens (human)
Lineage: Eukaryota; Metazoa; Chordata; Mammalia; Primates; Hominidae
Description: non-protein coding LINC00992:13
Source: RNAcentral